AUUGAACGCUGGCGGCGUGCCUAACACAUGCAAGUCGAGCGGUAACAGGUGUAGCAAUACAUGCUGACGAGCGGCGGACGGGUGAGUAACGCUUGGGAAUCUGCCUGUUAGUGGGGGACGAACCCGGGAAACGUACGGGCGUAAUACCGCAUACGCACUACGGUGGAAAGACCGGGGACCGGCAAGGCCUGGCGCUAACAGAUGAGCCCAACGUCGGAUUAGCUAGUUGGUAGGGUAACGGCCACCAAGGCGACGAUCCGUAACUGGUCUGAGAGGACGACCAGUCACACCGGAA
RNAcentral lists this ribosomal RNA (295 nucleotides) under uncultured bacterium. RNAcentral describes it as "partial 16S ribosomal RNA". It matches the Rfam family "Bacterial small subunit ribosomal RNA", at positions 30 to 318 of the family's 1533-position model. The record is from RNAcentral.